Molecule: transfer RNA, 98 nt
Filed under: Trametes cinnabarina
Lineage: Eukaryota; Fungi; Basidiomycota; Agaricomycetes; Polyporales; Polyporaceae
Description: Pycnoporus cinnabarinus tRNA
Rfam family: tRNA
About the family: Transfer RNA (tRNA) molecules are approximately 80 nucleotides in length. Their secondary structure includes four short double-helical elements and three loops (D, anti-codon, and T loops). Further hydrogen bonds mediate the characteristic L-shaped molecular structure. tRNAs have two regions of fundamental functional importance: the anti-codon, which is responsible for specific mRNA codon recognition, and the 3' end, to which the tRNAs corresponding amino acid is attached (by aminoacyl-tRNA synthetases). tRNAs cope with the degeneracy of the genetic code in two manners: having more than one tRNA (with a specific anti-codon) for a particular amino acid; and 'wobble' base-pairing, i.e. permitting non-standard base-pairing at the 3rd anti-codon position.
Source: Rfam by way of RNAcentral
GGCGAGAUGGCCGAGCGGUCUAAGGCGCCAGAAUCAGGACGGGACGUUCAUGUCUUAUCUGGUCCGAAAGGGCGUGGGUUCGAAUCCCACUCUCGUCA